This 475-nucleotide ribosomal RNA is filed under the name uncultured bacterium. RNAcentral's name for it is "SSU rRNA". It matches the Rfam family "Bacterial small subunit ribosomal RNA", at positions 26 to 518 of the family's 1533-position model. The record is from RNAcentral.
AGGACGAACGCUGGCGGCGCGCUUAACACAUGCAAGUCGAACGUGAAGCCGGAGCUUGCUCCGGUGGAAAGUGGCGAACGGGUGCGUAACACGUGAGCAACCUGCCCCGAAGACUGGGAUAACACCGGGAAACCGGUGCUAAUACCGGAUACCUUCUUCCGAUCGCAUGGUUGGAUGAAGAAAUGGAUUCCGCUUCGGGAUGGGCUCGCGGCCUAUCAGCUUGUUGGUGAGGUAACGGCCCACCAAGGCGACGACGGGUAGCUGGUCUGAGAGGACGACCAGCCACACUGGGACUGAGACACGGCCCAGACUCCUACGGGAGGCAGCAGUGGGGAAUCUUGCUCAAUGGGCGAAAGCCUGAAGCAGCGACGCCGCGUGCGGGAUGAAGGCCCUCGGGUUGUAAACCGCUUUCAGCAGGGACGAAAUUGACGGUACCUGCAGAAGAAGGCCCGGCCAACUACGUGCCAGCAGCCGC